UGGGGAAUUUUGGACAAUGGGCGAAAGCCUGAUCCAGCAAUGCCGCGUGUGUGAAGAAGGCCUUCGGGUUGUAAAGCACUUUUGUCCGGAAAGAAAUCCUCUGGGUUAAUACCUCGGGGGGAUGACGGUACCGGAAGAAUAAGCACCGGCUAACUACGUGCCAGCAGCCGCGGUAAUACGUAGGGUGCAAGCGUUAAUCGGAAUUACUGGGCGUAAAGCGUGCGCAGGCGGUUUUGUAAGACGGAUGUGAAAUCCCCGGGCUUAACCUGGGAACUGCAUUCGUGACUGCAAGGCUAGAGUAUGGCAGAGGGGGGUAGAAUUCCACGUGUAGCAGUGAAAUGCGUAGAGAUGUGGAGGAAUACCGAUGGCGAAGGCAGCCCCCUGGGCCAAUACUGACGCUCAUGCACGAAAGCGUGGGGAGCAAACAGGAUUAGAUACCCUGGUAGUCCACGCCCUAAACGAUGUCAACUAGUUGUUGGGGAUUCAUUUCCUUAGUAACGUAGCUAACGCGUGAAGUUGACCGCCUGGGGAGUACGGCCGCAAGAUUAAAACUUAAAGGAAUUGAC
RNAcentral lists this ribosomal RNA (566 nucleotides) under uncultured bacterium. RNAcentral describes it as "partial 16S ribosomal RNA". It matches the Rfam family "Bacterial small subunit ribosomal RNA", at positions 355 to 914 of the family's 1533-position model. The record is from RNAcentral.